RNAcentral lists this ribosomal RNA (253 nucleotides) under uncultured bacterium. RNAcentral's name for it is "partial 16S ribosomal RNA". It matches the Rfam family "Bacterial small subunit ribosomal RNA", at positions 524 to 776 of the family's 1533-position model. The record is from RNAcentral.
UACGAAGGGGGCUAGCGUUAUCCGGAGUUACUGGGCGUAAAGGGCGUGUAGGCGGUCUGUUAAGUCUGGCGUGAAAGCUCUCGGCUAAACCGGGAGAGGUCGUUGGAUACUGGCAGACUAGAGGACGGUAGAGGCGUGUGGAAUUCCGGGUGUAGUGGUGAAAUGCGUAGAGAUCCGGAGGAACACCAGUGGCGAAGGCGACACGCUGGGCCGUACCUGACGCUAAAGCGCGACAGCAUGGGGAGCAAACGGG